CCCUUAGAUGUUCUGGGCCGCACGCGCGCUACACUGUUCGACGCAGCGAGUCUUAACCUUGACCGAAAGGUUUGGGUAAUCUUCAGCAAAGUCGAACGUGAUGGGGAUCGAUCAUUGCAAUUAUUGAUCGUGAACGAGGAAUUCCUAGUAAGUGCAAGUCAUCGGCUUGCGCUGAUUACGUCCCUGCCCUUUGUACACACCGCCCGUCGCUACUACCGAUUGAAUGGUUUAGUGAGAUCUCUGGAUUGACGCUGGCUAGGGGGCGACCCUUGGCCAGACUGUUGAGAAACUGCUCAAACUUGAUCAUUUAGAGGAAGUAAAAGUCGUAACA
RNAcentral lists this ribosomal RNA (331 nucleotides) under uncultured eukaryote. RNAcentral describes it as "partial 18S ribosomal RNA". It matches the Rfam family "Eukaryotic small subunit ribosomal RNA", at positions 1470 to 1796 of the family's 1831-position model. The record is from RNAcentral.